RNAcentral lists this ribosomal RNA (2840 nucleotides) under marine metagenome. Its description in RNAcentral is "bacterial LSU rRNA". It matches the Rfam family "Bacterial large subunit ribosomal RNA". The record is from RNAcentral.
ACAAGCUAGAUAAGGGCGUAUGGGGAAUGCCUAGGCUCUCAGAGGCGAUGAAGGACGCGAUAAGCUGCGAAAAGCUGUGGGGAGGUGCACAUAACUUGUGAUCCGCAGAUAUCCGAAUGGGGCAACCCACUAUAUUGAAGGUAUAGUAUCCAGCAAUGGAAGCGAACCCGGUGAACUGAAACAUCUAAGUAGCCGGAGGAAGAGAAAACAAAAGUGAUUCCGGGAGUAGUGGCGAGCGAAACCGGAUUAGCCCAAACCAGUGUUGUUUUGGCAAUACUGGGGUUGUAGGACCACGACAUUGAUUGCGUAAUGAAUUAGAACACUUUGGAAAGAGUGACCGAAGAGGGUGAUAGUCCCGUACAAGUAAAGAGCGUUAAUUAUAGUGGUAUCCUGAGUAGUGCGGGGCACGUGAAACCCUGUAUGAAUCAAGCGGGACCAUCCGUUAAGGCUAAAUACUCCUGAGAGACCGAUAGUGAACCAGUACCGUGAGGGAAAGGUGAAAAGAACCCUGAAUAAGGGAGUGAAAAAGAUCCUGAAACCAUACGCUUACAAGCGGUCGGAGCCCGUAAGGGGUGACGGCGUGCCUUUUGCAUAAUGAGCCUACGAGUUACUUUUACUAGCAAGGUUAAGCACUUCAGGUGCGGAUCCGUAGCGAAAGCGAGUCUGAAUAGGGCGUUAUAGUUAGUAGUAGUAGACGCGAAACCGUGUGAUCUACCCAUGGGCAGGUUGAAGCUUUGUUAACCCAAAGUGGAGGACCGAACCCGUUGACGUUGAAAAGUCUUGGGAUGACCUGUGGGUAGGGGUGAAAGGCCAAUCAAACUCGGAAAUAGCUCGUACUCCCCGAAAUGCAUUUAGGUGCAGCGUUUAACUAGUUUUAUAGAGGUAGAGCUACUGAUUGGAUGCGGGGGCUUCACCGCCUACCAAUUCCUGACAAACUCCGAAUGCUAUAAAAUGUUGUUAAGCAGUGAGGGCAUGGGUGCUAAGGUCCAUGUCCGAGAGGGAAAGAACCCAGAUCAUCAGCUAAGGUCCCCAAGUGUAUGCUAAGUUGACAAAACGCGGUAAAACUGCAUUGACAGCCAGGAUGUUGGCUUGGAAGCAGCCAUUCAUUUAAAGAGUGCGUAACAGCUCACUGGUCGAGCGGUUUUGCAUGGAUAAUAAUCGGGCAUAAGUAUACCACCGAAGCUAUGACUUUGUCUUAUGACAAGGGGUAGGGGAGCAUUCUAUGGGCAUUGAAGGUGCUGGCGUGAGCCGUGCUGGAGCGCAUAGAAACGAAAAUGUAGGCAUAAGUAACGAUAAUGCGGGCGAGAAACCCGCACGCCGAAAGACCAAGGUUUCCCCAGCUAUGCUAAUCAGCUGGGGGUCAGUCGGGACCUAACGCGAACCCGAACGGGGUAGUGGAUGGACAAUCAGUUAAUAUUCUGAUACCUGCUCACAUUAAAAGUGACGGGGAUGAGGCGUUGGUGCGAAGAGACGGAAUUCUUCGUUGAAGGUAGUGGAAGCUACUGAUAGUACACUGAGGCUUCGGCCAAGGUGAUAAUCCAGCUUAUCAUCCUCCAAGAAAAACAAGUGAAGCAGCCCGUACCGUAAACCGACACAGGUGGUUGGGAUGAGUAUUCUAAGGCGCUCGAGAGAUUCAUGGCUAAGGAACUAGGCAAAAUAGACCCGUAACUUCGGGAGAAGGGUCGCCCCCUGUAUGGGGGGCCGCAGUGAAGAGGUCCAGGCGACUGUUUAUCAAAAACACAGGGCUCUGCAAAAUCGAAAGAUGACGUAUAGGGCCUGACACCUGCCCGGUGCUGGAAGGUUAAGAGGAGAUGUUAUUUUUCGGAAGAAGCAUUGAAUUGAAGCCCCAGUAAACGGCGGCCGUAACUAUAACGGUCCUAAGGUAGCGAAAUUCCUUGUCGGGUAAGUUCCGACCUGCAUGAAUGGCGUAACGAUUUCUCCGCUGUCUCCAACAUCAACUCAGUGAAAUUGAAUUCUCCGUGAAGAUGCGGAGUUCGCGUAGUUAGACGGAAAGACCCCGUGCACCUUUACUGCAACUUUACAUUGGUGUUAGGAAAAACAUAUUUAGCAUAGGAGGGAGACAUUGAAGCAAAGGCGUCAGCUUUUGUGGAGUCACCAGUGAAAUACCUCUUUUGUUUUUCUUGAUAUCUAACUGAUUGCCGUCAUCCGGCAUCAAGACAUUGUAUGGUGGGUAGUUUGACUGGGGCGGUCGCCUCCCAAAUAGUAACGGAGGCGUGCGAAGGUAGGCUCAGAACGGUCAGAAAUCGUUCGUAGAGUGCAAUGGCAUAAGCCUGCCUGACUGUGAGACUGACAAGUCGAGCAGAGACGAAAGUCGGUCAUAGUGAUCCGGUGGUUCUGAGUGGAAGGGCCAUCGCUCAACGGAUAAAAGGUACGCCGGGGAUAACAGGCUGAUACCCUCCAAGAGUCCAUAUCGACGAGGGUGUUUGGCACCUCGAUGUCGGCUCAUCACAUCCUGGGGCUGGAGCAGGUCCCAAGGGUUUGGCUGUUCGCCAAUUAAAGUGGUACGUGAGCUGGGUUCAGAACGUCGUGAGACAGUUCGGUCCCUAUCUGCCAUGGGUGUAGAAGAAUUGAGAGGAUUUGUCCCUAGUACGAGAGGACCGGGAUGAACAUAUCACUGGUGGACCAAUUGUGGCGCCAGCCGCAGUGUUGGGUAGCUAAAUAUGGAAAAGAUAACCGCUGAAAGCAUCUAAGUGGGAAACUUACCUCAAAACUAGUUCUUCCUAUAGAGCCGUAGUAGACCACUACGUUGAUAGGCUGGAUGUGUAAGCACCGUAAGGUGUGUAGCUGACCAGUACUAAUAGCUCAAUUGGCUUGAUUUA